AUCUCUUCAUUUCCAAUCAUUCAAUAAGAGCUAUUGAACAAGAAAAUGUCAAGCUCAAAAUGCCAAGUGUUAUGUUGCUGUUGCACCUUCUCAUUUUUUCGGUUAUAAACAACGUUGAGUCUUCUUUUUCUCCAAAAUAGGUUAGUUAUCUGCCUUUCUCCAAUUUAGGGUUUGUGUAUGCAACAUUCAAGGAUCCUCUCAUAAUUCAUAAUUGACCUUGAAAUUGACUACAUAAAUAAAA
Molecule: unclassified non-coding RNA, 241 nt
Filed under: Hevea brasiliensis (rubber tree)
Lineage: Eukaryota; Viridiplantae; Streptophyta; Magnoliopsida; Malpighiales; Euphorbiaceae
Source: RNAcentral